Solea senegalensis (Senegalese sole) is the source of this 1000-nucleotide long non-coding RNA. RefSeq lists it as uncharacterized. The record is from RefSeq and is a predicted model, not a curated record. Lineage: Eukaryota; Metazoa; Chordata; Actinopteri; Pleuronectiformes; Soleidae. The transcript has 2 exons.
CCUGUGUAAUGAAGAAGCUCUGUCACCUAAGGAGUUGUGGUGGUGUGAAGUCUAAUUGGUGACUGACGAUGGCCGUUCCUGACAGGACAACAAAAGGAGCGUGUGUGCACACACCUGUACUGUCCUUAACCUGCUGCUGCUGGAUUCGUUAGGAGGAAAACAGUCAUCUGUGCCUUCAUGGACCAGACAUCUGACCCUCACCCAAUAAUACCGUUUGAGGUGGACGUGGACUUGGGUUUCGCUCUCUUCUUCCUCUUCCUGCUGUGUUUCUUCCUGCUGGUGACAGUGGUGCGAUGUGCUCAAACAGUGGUGGAUCCGUAUGGCUCCAUCUCCACCUCCACCUACCAGGAGGAGCAGAUCACCUGAGGGAGAGUGUCUUCUCCCAGUGACGUGUCUCUGCAGGACUCCAGCUGUCCACCUUAGAAAACUCAUACAUGUACACUCUCGUUGUUGUGUGUCCUCAGUGGAUACAGGAGUCAGAGCACGUUAGAAACAAGAGGAAGGUCCAAAAUGUGCAUUUACUGAUUGAAUGUUCCUGUGGGUUUUUGGCCAUUUUGCAUUUAACUGCAGUUUUGCAUCGAUGUACUUCUAUAAAAUACAUUUUCCCACACCACCUCAGUUUUUGAAAAGACUUUGAACAGCUAUGAGUGAAUUCUCAAAUGGAACCGGAUCGAGUUUAAUCCAGUGCUUCAGUUUAAAAUGGUAACAGGAGCCAAAGUUAAAGAGCUCAGUGAAGCAAUAAUGUAAUAUCACAUUGAUUUGCUGUGCAGGCACAGAUUUAGGGGCAGACGCGACGGACAUGUUUCCAAAAUCAAGAUAAACAUCGACUGUGUACGCAGCAACUUUGCCAGGUUUGACAGUUUCCUGUUGGUUGGCAGGUGAAAGCUUGAGAUAAAAGGUUUUAUACAUUUAUUUUCUUGUGAUAUUUUCUUUAAAAUCUAUUCAGAUUCCAUCAAGAUUUAUGUGAUUUAAUAAACAUGAAACAUAUGUUUAAACUUCA